This 477-nucleotide ribosomal RNA is filed under the name uncultured bacterium. RNAcentral's name for it is "bacterial SSU rRNA". It matches the Rfam family "Bacterial small subunit ribosomal RNA", at positions 28 to 507 of the family's 1533-position model. The record is from RNAcentral.
GACGAACGCUGGCGGCGUGCUUAACACAUGCAAGUUGAACGGGAUUCACCCUAUGAAGUGUAACAGCGAAUUAGGGUGAUGAGAGUAGCGGACGGGCGAGUAACGCGUGAGUAACCUGCCCUUUGCAGGGGGAUAACAUCGGGAAACCGGUGCUAAUACCGCAUAAGACCACAGUGCCACAUGGCACGGCGGUCAAAGCUCCGGCGGCAAAGGAUGGACUCGCGUCCAAUUAGCUGGUUGGUAGGGUAACGGCCUACCAAGGCGACGAUUGGUAUCCGAACUGAGAGGUUGAUCGGACGCAUUGGGACUGAGACACGGCCCAGACUCCUACGGGAGGCAGCAGUGGGGAAUAUUGCGCAAUGGGGAAACCCUGACGCAGCAACGCCGCGUGAAGGAUGAAGGCUUUCGGGUUGUAAACUUCUUUGAUCGGGGACGAAGAUGACGGUACCCGAGGAACAAGCCACGGCUAACUACGUG